GAUGAAGAACGCAGCGAAAUGCGAUAAGUAAUGUGAAUUGCAGAAUUCAGUGAAUCAUCGAAUCUUUGAACGCAUCUUGCGCUCCUUGGUAUUCUGAGGAGCAUGCCUGUUUGAGUGUCAUUAAAUUCUCAACUACACUGACUUUGAAUUGGUGUGGCUUGGAUUUGGGGGGAAAAUUGUUGUGGGCUUUUUGUAUAGUCUGCUCCCCUGAAAUUGAUUAGCGGUACCUUUGUGGAACUGUCUACAGGUGUGAUAAUUAUCUACAUCUUAGACAUCUGCUGGAAUGCUGCUUUCUAAACCUUACUUGUAUUGACACUCUUGACCUCAAAUCAGGUAGGACUACCCGCUGAACUUAAGCAUAUCAAUAAGCGGAGGA
RNAcentral lists this unclassified non-coding RNA (376 nucleotides) under soil metagenome. Its description in RNAcentral is "partial contains 5.8S ribosomal RNA, internal transcribed spacer 2, and large subunit ribosomal RNA". The stretch from base 1 to 120 matches the Rfam family "5.8S ribosomal RNA", at positions 35 to 154 of the family's 154-position model. The record is from RNAcentral.